CACGGAGGGAGCGUGGCUGCGGCGGGGCUGGUCCUGCGCCCGGAGAAAGGCUAGGGAGGGACAAUAAAGCCAGUGCCGGGCAGAGAAAUCACAAGGUGGAGUUGAAUACAAUGCCCACAUUUGUGGUUAGCUACAAGCAAUAUGUUAUGAAGAUGGUGGUAUUCAGACACGUACCCAACCAAUUUAAUUCAGAUAAAUUGGAUACAAGGCUUUGACCAGCAUGAGAAGAGCAGGUGAGAACCCUUGAAAGAGAAGCUGAAAUAAUAAGUAUUUUGAUGGUCAGGAAAAAUAUUUCUCCAAUAACACAAAGAUCUUCUAUUAGAAACUCAAAAUACUAAUUACAAUCUGCCUAAAGACUUAUUAUAAAUGAAGUGGAGAUAGAAACAUGUUUAUAUUAUGGGGAGGCUUAUUUGCAGAUAAGCAGGAAACCAGUCACACAUCUUCACAAACAUAAUUUUAGCUGUUUUAAUUAGCAGGUUUGCUUUGAUUUAAUUUAAUUCAGUGAUUCCUUCUAUCUUUACUGACACAUGUGCAAAUAAAAUGUGCUGACCUGACUUCUGACAUCCAGUUUCCUUUUUCAUUUCUGUUUUUGUUGUUGUUGAUUCCGUCAGUGUUUACGGUGAAAUGAUGGGGUCAACACUUCCUAACAGCAUGGCCAACAGAUGUAGCAUGGGGAUGACAACUGUACAUUUGAGUGGUCUUUUGUUACCCCAGCACUGACUGAUUGCUGAGGUGCUGGAAGCCAGGGUGUCAAAGGCCAUCAGAAGUCCUAAUAGCCUCUGGAUUCCAAUUCUAUUAAGGGUUGGAAUGACAAAAAAUAUGCCUUUUUGUGUACUAGUGGUAAAAGUGCAGUGAGCUUUUUUGCUAGAGAAUGAGAUCCUAGAAAGAAGCCCCAGGUGUGCCUUUAGCAAGUUAUUGUAGCGUAUGCAUCAACUUUGGGUUGAAAAGCAAGCUUUAAAAGCUGUCAGAAUUCAUAUAUUUUAUGUUUGGAGAUUUGGUGGUGU
RNAcentral lists this long non-coding RNA (1004 nucleotides) under Strigops habroptila (Kakapo). Its description in RNAcentral is "lncRNA (ENSSHBG00005000628.1)". Lineage: Eukaryota; Metazoa; Chordata; Aves; Psittaciformes; Psittacidae. The record is from RNAcentral.